AUUGAACGCUGGCGGCAGGCCUAACACAUGCAAGUCGAGCGGUAACAUUUCUAGCUUGCUAGAAGAUGACGAGCGGCGGACGGGUGAGUAAUGCUUGGGAAUAUGCCUUUUGGUGGGGGACAACAGUUGAAACGACUGCUAAUAUCGCAUAAUGUCUGAGGACCAAAGCGGGGGACCUUCGGGCCGUCGUGCCAAAAGAUUAGCCCAAGUGAGAUUAGCUAGUUGGUGGGGUAAUGGCUUACCAAGACAAUGACGCCUAACUGGUUUGAGAGGAUGAUCAGUCACACU
This 288-nucleotide ribosomal RNA is filed under the name uncultured Gammaproteobacteria bacterium. Its description in RNAcentral is "partial 16S ribosomal RNA". It matches the Rfam family "Bacterial small subunit ribosomal RNA", at positions 30 to 314 of the family's 1533-position model. The record is from RNAcentral. Lineage: Bacteria; Pseudomonadati; Pseudomonadota; Gammaproteobacteria.